CCUACGGGAGGCAGCAGUGGGGAAUAUUGCACAAUGGGGGAAACCCUGAUGCAGCGACGCCGCGUGAGUGAAGAAGUAUUUCGGUAUGUAAAGCUCUAUCAGCAGGGAAGAUAAUGACGGUACCUGACUAAGAAGCCCCGGCUAACUACGUGCCAGCAGCCGCGGUAAUACGUAGGGGGCAAGCGUUAUCCGGAUUUACUGGGUGUAAAGGGUGCGUAGGUGGCAGGGCAAGUCAGAUGUGAAAGCCCUGGGCUCAACCACAGUACUGCAUUUGAAACUGUCCAGCUGGAGUGCAGGAGAGGUAAGCGGAAUUCCUAGUGUAGCGGUGAAAUGCGUAGAUAUUAGGAGGAAUACCGAUAGCGAAGGCAGCAAUCUGGCUGGAAACUGACGCUGAGGUGCGAAAGCGUGGGUAGCAAACAGGAUUAGAUACCCCAGUAGUC
This 440-nucleotide ribosomal RNA is filed under the name uncultured bacterium. Its description in RNAcentral is "partial 16S ribosomal RNA". It matches the Rfam family "Bacterial small subunit ribosomal RNA", at positions 338 to 795 of the family's 1533-position model. The record is from RNAcentral.